Molecule: unclassified non-coding RNA, 652 nt
Filed under: Hevea brasiliensis (rubber tree)
Lineage: Eukaryota; Viridiplantae; Streptophyta; Magnoliopsida; Malpighiales; Euphorbiaceae
Source: RNAcentral
GAAACUUGAGUGCAUAGAAAUAAAGAGAUGUAGUCUGUUGGAGCAAAUCAUCAAUAAAGAAGGGGACAAAGAAGAAGAAGGAGCAAGGGAUAAGAUCAUAUUCCCUUCAUUACACUGCAUCAUUCUUGAGUAUUUGCCUAGUUUAAUAAGCUUUUAUUCAGGGAGUGAUGUUUUGAAAUGUACGUCACUAAAAAAAAAUUGAAAUAAUUGACUGUCCUAAGAUAGAGACGUUUGUUUCCACACUUUCAAUUAAAAAUAACCCGGGCGUGGUUGUUGGGGGAAACGAAGAGGCUUGCUAGGAAUGUUUUGAUGCUCCUACUGUACCCAUUUUCAGUGGCAAGGAUGAUGAGGAAAAUUGAAGCCAUCUUUCAUUUUUGCAAAUCUGGAACAAAGAGGCAGAUUUUCAAUGAAGUAAGAAGCCUUUAAUCCUUCGAUCCAUUCUCUUAUAUCAUAGUGGUUUCCUUUGAGCUCAUACUUGUUCUCAGCACAUACUCCAGAUAGACUUUGUUUCUGAGUUUCUGCAACUUGAUUGCUUGCUAGUAUUAAAUUUGUUAACUAUCAAUUGCUAUUUGCAGAUUAAGUGUUGCAAGCUGUUGAUAGAAAUUGUAGCAGAUGAAGAACAUGGAACAGCAGAAGAGAUUGAAUUCAACAA